RNAcentral lists this ribosomal RNA (1245 nucleotides) under Bacillus sp. NH1.9. RNAcentral's name for it is "bacterial SSU rRNA". It matches the Rfam family "Bacterial small subunit ribosomal RNA", at positions 94 to 1326 of the family's 1533-position model. The record is from RNAcentral. Lineage: Bacteria; Bacillati; Bacillota; Bacilli; Caryophanales; Bacillaceae.
AGCGGCGGACGGGUGAGUAACACGUGGGUAACCUGCCUGUAAGACUGGGAUAACUCCGGGAAACCGGAGCUAAUACCGGAUAGUUCCUUGAACCGCAUGGUUCAAGGAUGAAAGACGGUUUCGGCUGUCACUUACAGAUGGACCCGCGGCGCAUUAGCUAGUUGGUGAGGUAACGGCUCACCAAGGCGACGAUGCGUAGCCGACCUGAGAGGGUGAUCGGCCACACUGGGACUGAGACACGGCCCAGACUCCUACGGGAGGCAGCAGUAGGGAAUCUUCCGCAAUGGACGAAAGUCUGACGGAGCAACGCCGCGUGAGUGAUGAAGGUUUUCGGAUCGUAAAGCUCUGUUGUUAGGGAAGAACAAGUGCAAGAGUAACUGCUUGCACCUUGACGGUACCUAACCAGAAAGCCACGGCUAACUACGUGCCAGCAGCCGCGGUAAUACGUAGGUGGCAAGCGUUGUCCGGAAUUAUUGGGCGUAAAGGGCUCGCAGGCGGUUUCUUAAGUCUGAUGUGAAAGCCCCCGGCUCAACCGGGGAGGGUCAUUGGAAACUGGGAAACUUGAGUGCAGAAGAGGAGAGUGGAAUUCCACGUGUAGCGGUGAAAUGCGUAGAGAUGUGGAGGAACACCAGUGGCGAAGGCGACUCUCUGGUCUGUAACUGACGCUGAGGAGCGAAAGCGUGGGGAGCGAACAGGAUUAGAUACCCUGGUAGUCCACGCCGUAAACGAUGAGUGCUAAGUGUUAGGGGGUUUCCGCCCCUUAGUGCUGCAGCUAACGCAUUAAGCACUCCGCCUGGGGAGUACGGUCGCAAGACUGAAACUCAAAGGAAUUGACGGGGGCCCGCACAAGCGGUGGAGCAUGUGGUUUAAUUCGAAGCAACGCGAAGAACCUUACCAGGUCUUGACAUCCUCUGACAACCCUAGAGAUAGGGCUUUCCCUUCGGGGACAGAGUGACAGGUGGUGCAUGGUUGUCGUCAGCUCGUGUCGUGAGAUGUUGGGUUAAGUCCCGCAACGAGCGCAACCCUUGAUCUUAGUUGCCAGCAUUCAGUUGGGCACUCUAAGGUGACUGCCGGUGACAAACCGGAGGAAGGUGGGGAUGACGUCAAAUCAUCAUGCCCCUUAUGACCUGGGCUACACACGUGCUACAAUGGACAGAACAAAGGGCUGCGAGACCGCAAGGUUUAGCCAAUCCCACAAAUCUGUUCUCAGUUCGGAUCGCAGUCUGCAACUCGACUGCGUGAAGC